RNAcentral lists this long non-coding RNA (1297 nucleotides) under Equus caballus (horse). RNAcentral describes it as "lncRNA (ENSECAG00000048199.1)". Lineage: Eukaryota; Metazoa; Chordata; Mammalia; Perissodactyla; Equidae. The record is from RNAcentral.
CUCUUAUUCAAAGAGAUUUAAUUACUCACCAGAUCUGUUCCAACAAUUUUAAGAAAGCAGAGGAAUUCAAGGCACUAUGUACCACCCCAUUUGAGAGGUAACCCAGACUGAGAUAGCCAAAAGCAGUGUAUAAUUGCAAGACACUGUGCUAAGAUCUGUCAUAUGAUAUAAUUUCAAUGAGUGGAAAUGUGUUUUUAUGCUAAGAUUUGAGGUGAGACAUCAGAAAUAUAUUCCAAGUUUAUUUUCCAGGUUUAUCCUGGUCAAUAAAAUAUGUAAGUCCAUUCCUCCACCUUUAAUCUGUUCCUCACUGCCUUGCAAGAUCUGACAAGAGUGAGCUUCUCACUGUAUUAGUUUCCAAUAGUUGAUCUAACCAAUUACAACAAACUUGGUGGCUUAAACAAUAGAAAUUUAUUAACUUAGCGUUCUGAAGGCAUAGUCCCAAAUGGGUCUGACAGGGCUAAAAUCAGAGUCAGCAGGACAGUGUUUCUCUGAGAGUUUAAGGGAGAAUCUGUUUCUUCACCUUUCCCAGCUUCUGUGGACUGCCUGUAAUUCCUUGGCUUGUAACCCCUUUCCUUCAUCUUCAAAGCCAACAGUGUCCCAUGUCUCCAGCCAUUCUUUCAUAGUCACAACUCCCUUUGACUCUCUUCUUCUUUCUACUUUCACUUUUAAGGACCCUUAAAAGUGGUCCUUAAUCCACUAGGCCCACCCAAAUAAUCCAGGAAAAUCUCCCUAUUUUAAGGUCAGCUAAUUAGCAACUUCAAUCCUGCCUGCAACCUUAAUUCUCUUUGCCGUAUAAAAUAACAUAUUUACAGGUUCGUUGGAAUAAAGAUGUAGACAUCUUUGAGGGGUCUUCAUUCUGCCUAUCACAGUAUCUAUUGGGGGAAGCAAGUGUGUCAGAGGACCUCUUGGAGCAGUAUAUAGAAGACUCUCACUUAAAUGAGAGUUGGACUAAAUGACCAGAGGUCAAUUUGCCAGCAUAGAGAUUAUAUGACACUUUAACAUUGUACCAGGAACUGAAUCUUUAUAACUUUAGCUUCCCUACUGGUAUAAUGAGUGUGGUAACAUUUUACUACCAACAAGCAAGAGUUUUAAAAGCCACAGAGAAUUUAAUUAUAUAUACAUAAAGUCCUUAUUUAACCUUUCUCUGGCGAUUUUACAUUUUAAUAGCUUUGAAUUUUGCUAUUAAAAAUAACACUGCAAUAAGCAUCCCUAUGUAGCUGUGAUUAUUUUCCUAUGAUAAUUUCUAAUACUGGAUCCAAUGGUGUGAACAUCUCUAAGGAUCUUGAUACUUUCCCCA